RNAcentral lists this ribosomal RNA (495 nucleotides) under uncultured bacterium. RNAcentral's name for it is "bacterial SSU rRNA". It matches the Rfam family "Bacterial small subunit ribosomal RNA", at positions 28 to 517 of the family's 1533-position model. The record is from RNAcentral.
GAUUAACGCUAGCGGCAGGCCUAAUACAUGCAAGUCGAGGGGCAGCAGGGUGUAGCAAUACAUCGCUGGCGACCGGCGCACGGGUGCGUAACACGUAUGCAACCUACCUUUAACUGGGGAAUAGCCCUCCGAAAGGAGGAUUAACACCGCAUAACAUCACGAGACGGCAUCGCCUUGUGAUCAAACCUCCGGGGGUUAAAGAUGGGCAUGCGUCCGAUUAGCUAGUUGGCGGGGUAACGGCCCACCAAGGCGACGAUCGGUAGGGGUCUGAGAGGAUGAUCCCCCACACUGGUACUGAGACACGGACCAGACUCCUACGGGAGGCAGCAGUAAGGAAUAUUGGACAAUGGUCGCAAGACUGAUCCAGCCAUGCCGCGUGCAGGAUGAACGAUCUAUGAUCUGUAAACUGCUUUUGUUCGGGAAUAAACCCCUUCACGUGUGGAGGGCUGAAUGUACCGAAAGAAUAAGGGUCGGCUAACUUCGUGCCAGCAGCCG